Molecule: unclassified non-coding RNA, 116 nt
Organism: Callithrix jacchus (white-tufted-ear marmoset)
Lineage: Eukaryota; Metazoa; Chordata; Mammalia; Primates; Cebidae
Rfam family: Metazoan signal recognition particle RNA
About the family: The signal recognition particle (SRP) is a universally conserved ribonucleoprotein. It is involved in the co-translational targeting of proteins to membranes. The eukaryotic SRP consists of a 300-nucleotide 7S RNA and six proteins: SRPs 72, 68, 54, 19, 14, and 9.
Source: Ensembl
GCCGGGCGUGGUGGCUCACGCCUGUAAUCCAACCUCUUUGGAGGCCAAGGCGGAUGGAUCACCUGAGGUCGGGAGUUCAAGACCAGCCUGAUCAACAUGGUGAAACUCCGUCUUAA